CUCAAACCCAGUUGGGGUGAAGAUAAAUCUCAUAAUAAGAUUGUUUGUCACCGCAAGUCUAUAAAUGGUGGAGUUCAACACAGCCUGGAGGAACAAAUGGGAUUGAUUUCUGAGGCAGUGAAGCAGUGAAGUAACGGGGGAAAUGAUAAUACCACGGUAUGUUGUCUACAGUACUUUGAUAUGUUUGUCUGUUCAUAGAUAUUGACACCAAGAUGCACUGGGGAAUACAGUACAGGUUCUAGUAAUAACUGCAUGUAAAGCCAACAUGAAAUAUUUUAAGUAACUUUCAAUGCAAAAGAGAAUAUUUUAAUGUCAGUAAAUGGAGUUUUGGGGAAAGAAGGCGAAGCAGGCCAAUAGGUGGGAAUGUCGAGUAUUAUUUAUUCAAAUCCUCCAUUUACUGGCUAAGCCUGUUUGGGGCUGAGGAGAAGAGACGACAGGGCUAGUUAUAAUUCAGGGCAGGACAUGGUGAGUCGCGGCUGGUAUAAUGGAGCAUCUGCUGACACUGAAUGCUCCAGAUCCAUCUUAACAUCUGGGCGGUGGGACAGACGAACAGACGCCUACUGCAGCAGCUCUCCUAUUGAUGGUGUUGCGUCAAGGUAAAUGAGAUCCCAUCAACUCGGAGGUUGUUUGAAAUGUUUGUUUCAACACCCCCCUGUAACAUGGUUGUCAUUGUCUCCACAUUAAAGCAUUCAUCCGGUGUAACAGAUGAAGUACCACGACGCCUUUGAUAUAGCCCAGUGGAGAAUGUAUUUAUUCGGGUUUUGAAGUGGAUGGGAUUGUCUGGUCGAAAAAGCGUGGGAGCAACCAAAAACGGCGGUUAGUUCCCAUCGGGGCGCCCACCAGGAUGCAUCUGUCUGUGAGAAGAAGCAGCAGCCAGGGAGUGUGUGGUUCUCUGUGGCCCUUCCAUGAGAGAGCCCAGCCCAGCAGGCCUCCCACGCAGACGCUCAGCGCACAUACAAAAGGGACAUCCUCCUACGCUUUGUUGGCCAAGUGAUUCCCAGCUCACGAAGCAGUGGAGAGAAAAAUAAAUAAAUUGAGUGCCGCAUGAUGACAGGGAGGGGGUGGUGAUUUUGAAAAAUACCUGACUCAUUUUCUCUACUACUUUUUCAUGUUUUUGCACAACGUCUCUCUGGAAGUUGGAAGCAAUGUUGUUGAAGAUCCAAGGGUCACUCGUAUACUCCCACGACUUUACGUCCGUAAAAGCGAUAUGUAGUUUUCUAAUAAAUGCCUAUACGUUGUUGGUAAAGGAAGAUUCUGAAUCAACUUAGUUGAAAGGCCUUUCUUGCCUGUGGAGGAAAAGGUCGCUGACCCUGUGCCCUGGGAGCACUUACUUCUCAGCAGCUAAGACAGGUUCAAAGUGGAUUAAUGCACAAGUUACACACACACAUGCACGCACACACAAACCCUUCUUGUUGUGGUUUGAUAAUCCUCUAAAAAGGUGAUCCAACUGUGCUGAAAGUUUAAUCAGGAUUGGAUGUGUCCAUUAACCACAAUCUCUAAAUUCCGCAUGAGCAUUAGCUUGCCUUGAUAAUCACUGUUCAUUAAGACAUGAAUUCAUUUAUGAAGUCCUGUUGGGCUGUAACUUUUCAGAAUAAUUACAUUCUUCCUUCAUUUAAAAAAUCCAGUUUGAAAUGUUAAUAUUUCAAAGAUGUUCAGUCUAAGCUGUAAUAAUUACUUUUUGUCACAAUUUGCUGCUCGGUUGAGUUGUUGGGAGCAAAAUAUCUGACUAAAGUGUAUUAAAAUUAAUGGACUGUGCUUUCUGUUACAUAAUGAGGGUACUAAAACACAAUUGUUAUAUUUAAUAUACCCAUUUAUAAACUGUUGGUUUAAUUUUCUAUAAUUCCUUGUAAUUGACAAGCCUUACCAUUGGAUUUGAAAUGGAGUUUCAAUUUCUGUCUGGGUUUCUUCUAUGUAACAGAUGCUCGAGGGUAGACUGACACACUCGAAGAAGAUUGCUUUCUAAUUUAACACUUUCCUUUAAAUCAAGACAAAAAUAACCUUGAGCCAUUUAGAUCUGUAGAAAAGGGAAUUGAAACGUCUGCACUUGACUGUUAGCACAUAGAAGUUAUGAAGGUGCCUUAAAAGGAUACUUUGGGAUUUGGGGAAUUAUUUUUCCUACUUACCCAGAGUCAGACGAACUCAUGGAUACCAGUUAUAUGUCUCUGAGUGCAGUUUUAAGGAAGUUGAAGAUAGCAUAUCAUUAGCUUAGCCCAAUUGCUGGAACUCUCCAGGAACUACUAGCCAGCUCC
Molecule: long non-coding RNA, 2249 nt
Organism: Salvelinus fontinalis (brook trout)
Lineage: Eukaryota; Metazoa; Chordata; Actinopteri; Salmoniformes; Salmonidae
Exons: 3
Source: RefSeq, a predicted model, not a curated record